CCUCCCGCAAGCACACAGAUCCUCUCUUCUCUCCAUGUAGUCACUACUUGGGGAAGGGGAAUGGGUGGUAUCAGCAAUUCAAGACUGAUUUCUUUUCCAUCUUCAGCGCCCCUUUCCUUGAUAUGAUGUUAAAACCAGAACAAGAAACAGAUCGAGGAAGAGGCAGAGUAACAACAGCCGGGAAGAAGAUACAGUUUUGUCAUUUUGUAGUGAGACUGUGCCCUAUACAUGAACCUAUUUGCCAGACCCAUCAAGUGAAUUCCGUGAUUCUUAUGAAAAAUGCCAUUAGACCUGUGAGAGGGGCUGUGACAGUGGAACCCGAAUGAAGACAGGAAAAGUCUGUAGAGGACUGAUGGUUAUGUUCACCAUUCAAAUUGCAAGAAAACCAAUAAGAAGUCAGUAAAGUGCAUUCAAAGAGAAAGGUGGGACUCGUGAAGGGGCCAAGGGAAAAGAGCUUCAUUAGCAUAUUUGUCAAGCAGAUGUGAAAUGAGGCAGAAAACUACUAGAACAAUUGGAGAAAUCUAGAAUAUGAAGUUCCAGCACAAACUUAGAUGGCUUCUAACUAUGUGAAGGUUUGAACAGCAGCUUCUGACAUAGAAAAUAACCACAGCAAAAAGAAGCACUAACAAGUGACAGAUGUGGUUGACUCAUCUCCUUCUCCCUUCGACUCUCUAAUGAGCAAUUAAAUAGCCUGAAACAGAACAAUCAAGAGGUCUGGCAAAUCCACACACUAGAUGAUGAAGAAAUGUACAUCCAAGGAAAAUCAAACCAAGUAAAGGAGGAAAAACUUUGAGUUCUGCUUAAGGUCUAGGACUUCCUAAGGCUCAUUCCAGCUCCUCCAGAUGAAGGCAUUUUCUAAGCAGGAGACAAUUACAACAGCAAUACUAAACUGAUACACAAAGGAUCCCCGUACUUCAUCAAAAUAUCAAUGUUGUCCAUGACACACAAAGAACCCAGCUGUAGUUUAAUUCAGCAUCACAGUCCCAACAUGUUUUAAAACAUGUUCCAGCUUUUGGUCCCAGGAUUAUUCAACCUAGCUCAUAAAAGAAAACAAUAUUGCAUUUCUAAGUAUUGGCUCCUAGAAUUGGCAAGUUUAGUCAAGAAAAGCUGGAAUGCCGUUAAAACAACACCCUGUCAUCUUUCAAUCAGUCCUUAGCUGAAGUUAAAAUCCCACUCAUUCUGCAUGAUCCAGCCUCUGUAGCAUAGAGUGAGUAGCCCCUUAACAAGAACCAAAAUGGAGGGUACGGAUGAGGCUCAGAUCGUCACCACCUGGAGAAUAGAGACAGUGACUGAGUCACCAGGAAAUCUGUCCCCUGCUCAUCCCAGAAUCCCCGAGCUUUGACUUUUUAAGAGAACAUGUGACAGAUAAUGCCAUCUGAGAAGAUUCACAGAGCAACCAAAUAAAGAUGAUUGAGUGAAUGGCUAAAGAAAUAAAUAUGUUCGAAUCUGUACCCAUCUCAUGUCUUUCCUGAUGAUUGCCUCCUUUACUGUAUGUUUUCCACUGAGAUGAAGAUUUUGGUCAUUUCCUCAUUCAUGUUCCUGCUUUUCAAAACCCAAGCAAGAAAGGAAACUUCUACAGUGACUUUCUCAUUAUGAAAUCUUAGCAUUCACUAGUCGGCCAUAAUGGAAAACCAGCCAAAUGGACACAUAUACACUGGUCUGUACCCGCAGAGAAAGAAAUGCAAAUCUCUGUGAUCAGAAAACUAUCCUAUCUUGUACAUUGUUAAAAGUCUGCCUCCAAAAAGUUUACUUCUGGAAUACUGUAAUUGAAUAGAAUCAGGGAUCCUACCUGUGUCCUUCAACUUUCACAUCUUGUCUACUCAAGUAAGGGUUGAAUUUGCAUGACUAUAUCUAAGGUUCGAGGGCUUACCUGUUGGCAGUAGACCCAGUAGUCUAUGAAUGGAAAUGGGCAAACCUGUGACCUCCCAAAACUUUAAUAUGAAAGUUUUGUUUGUGUAUACUCAUGGCAUUAUUCUUUUAAUAAAGAGAUAAUCUAUAUA
Molecule: long non-coding RNA, 2000 nt
Filed under: Homo sapiens (human)
Lineage: Eukaryota; Metazoa; Chordata; Mammalia; Primates; Hominidae
Description: HSALNT0316269
Source: RNAcentral